RNAcentral lists this ribosomal RNA (742 nucleotides) under uncultured bacterium. RNAcentral's name for it is "bacterial SSU rRNA". It matches the Rfam family "Bacterial small subunit ribosomal RNA", at positions 30 to 818 of the family's 1533-position model. The record is from RNAcentral.
CGUACGCUGGCGGCAGCCUAAAAAAUGCAAGUCGAACGAAGUAGUAAUACUUAGUGGCAGACGGGUGAGUAACAUGUAGGUAUCUGCCCAUUGGCCUGGAAUAACACGAGGAAACUUGUGCUAAUACCGGAUAAGUCUUUACGGAGAAAGCUUUAUGCACCAUUGGAUGAGCCUGCACUUGAUUAGUUUGUUGGUGGGGUAAUGGCCUACCAAGACUGUGAUCAAUAGCUGAUUUGAGAGGAUGAUCAGCCACAUUGGGACUGAGACACGGCCCAAACUCCUACGGGAGGCAGCAGUGGGGAAUCUUGCACAAUGGAGGAAACUCUGAUGCAGCGAUGCCGCGUGAGUGAAGAAGGCCCUUGGGUUGUAAAGCUCUUUCGUCGGGGAAGAAAAUGACUGUACCCGAAUAAGAAGGUCCGGCUAACUUCGUGCCAGCAGCCGCGGUAAUACGAAGGGACCUAGCGUAGUUCGGAAUUACUGGGCUCAAAGAGUUCGUAGGUGGUUGAAAAAGUUAGUGGUGAAAUCCCAGAGCUUAACUCUGGAACUGCCAUUAAAACUUUUCAGCUAGAGUAUGAUAGAGGAAAGCAGAAUUUCUAGUGUAGAGGUGAAAUUCGUAGAUAUUAGAAAGAAUACCAAUUGCGAAGGCAGCUUUCUGGAUCAUUACUGACACUGAGGAACGAAAGCAUGGGUAGCGAAGAGGAUUAGAUACCCUCGUAGUCCAUGCCGUAAACGAUGUGUGUUA